AAAUGAAUUACCCUCAUUCUUCUCUUAGCAGAGCAUAUAGGCCAGACCUCAUUAGAAUUCAAUAUCGCUUUGCUUUUCUAAUGUUAAUGUACCAGUUAUAUAAGAAAUACACGUGUGUGUGUGUGGGGGGUAUUCCACCAUUAUGCUCAACAUGAUAUCAUAAUUCCAAAAACUGGACAUAACCUUUGUUAAAGGGAAUUAUUGCAUUUUGCCGUUUUAUCUUUUGCUUCUAAUGUAACUUAAAUUUCCAUUCUAAUAGUGGAUUAUAGAGGCCUUAAUUCUUUGUGUCUCUCUUAAAGCUGCAGUGGCUACAUAGCGCUAGCUUUAUGGCUUUCUGUAGAAAUGCCGUGACUAAAGAUCAGACUGUAAAGGCUGCGUCCACCUCACUGUGAGAGGGAACGCAGAGCGGUAUGCUAAUAAACAACUGUACAAGUUUUCCACCUCUAGGAAUCACUCAGAGCAUUAAGGCUCAGAGUCUUUUGUCUGGUGUGCUUCAAGAAGUAUAAUGAAAACAAAAACACAAACACAUAAAAAUACAAUUUAUGCCCUUUUAUCAAGCAAAGAAAAAGUUGUUUAACAUUUGAAAAGGGAGCAGUAAUGUAAAUUUAUUGACAAUUUUAUUGUAAUAAUUAGAUGUUUACACAGUCUGGACAUUGUGGCUAAAUCACUUGGAGCAUGUUUAUUUGCACGGAGCCGUUUCCUGGGCACUGCGGCAGGUUCAUUAAGAAGACAUACUAUAUUAGGACUCGGAGAACCAGCCGCUCCUGCUUGCUGCUUCUCUGUUUUAUACAUAUAUUUAAAAACUAAAAACAAUGCAGCAAAAAUUCAGAAUUUCCUUCGUAAGGGAAACAACAUCCCCCGUGGCCUUGAAAUAGCUUGAAAAUAAAUCUCACCUUGAAUAUCUUACUACAGGGCAUUUGAAAGACCACCUCUAAUGACUCAACUAGCUUUUAAUACCUAGUGUAUAAACGGCGACCUGGUUUUGACUAGGAAUAAAUUAGAGCUGUGUAUUGGGGCAUUCCUUACUUUAUCCUUUUC
This 1038-nucleotide long non-coding RNA is filed under the name Mus musculus (house mouse). RNAcentral's name for it is "long non-coding RNA chr6:51849882-51850920". The record is from RNAcentral. Lineage: Eukaryota; Metazoa; Chordata; Mammalia; Rodentia; Muridae.